Molecule: ribosomal RNA, 222 nt
Filed under: uncultured bacterium
Lineage: Bacteria
Description: partial 16S ribosomal RNA
Rfam family: Bacterial small subunit ribosomal RNA
Source: RNAcentral
UACGUAGGGUGCAAGCGUUGUCCGGAAUUAUUGGCGUAAAGAGCUCGUAGGCGGUCUGUCGCGUCUGCUGUGAAAACCUAGGGCUUAACUCUGGGCGUGCAGUGGGUACGGGCAGACUAGAGUGCGGUAGGGGAGACUGGAAGUUCUGGUGUAGCGGUGAAAUGCGCAGAUAUCAGGAGGAACACCGGUGGCGAAGGCGGGUCUCUGGGCCGUAACUGACGC